Molecule: ribosomal RNA, 464 nt
Filed under: uncultured bacterium
Lineage: Bacteria
Description: partial 16S ribosomal RNA
Rfam family: Bacterial small subunit ribosomal RNA
Source: RNAcentral
CUACGGGAGGCAGCAGUGGGGAAUAUUGCACAAUGGGCGCAAGCCUGAUGCAGCCAUGCCGCGUGUAUGAAGAAGGCCUUCGGGUUGUAAAGUACUUUCAGCGGGGAGGAAGGGAGUAAAGUUAAUACCUUUGCUCAUUGACGUUACCCGCAGAAGAAGCACCGGCUAACUCCGUGCCAGCAGCCGCGGUAAUACGGAGGGUGCAAGCGUUAAUCGGAAUUACUGGGCGUAAAGCGCACGCAGGCGGUUUGUUAAGUCAGAUGGGAAAUCCCCGGGCUCAACCUGGGAACUGCAUCUGAUACUGGCAAGCUUGCGUCUCGUAGAGGGGGGUAGAAUUCCAGGUGUAGCGGUGAAAUGCGUAGAGAUCUGGAGGAAUACCGGUGGCGAAGGCGGCCCCCUGGACGAAGACUGACGCUCAGGUGCGAAAGCGUGGGGAGCAAACAGGAUUAGAUACCCUCGUAGUC